This is a non-coding RNA of Acanthosepion pharaonis, 113 nucleotides long. Lineage: Eukaryota; Metazoa; Mollusca; Cephalopoda; Sepiida; Sepiidae. The record is from the annotation of a GenBank genome assembly.
ACAGCCAUAAUCACGUUGAAACACUAGUUCCCAUACGAGCACCGAAGUUAAGCAACGUCGAAUCUGGCCAGUACCUUGAUGAGUAACCGCUUAGGAAUACCAGGUGCUGUAAG